Spea bombifrons (plains spadefoot toad) is the source of this 480-nucleotide long non-coding RNA. RefSeq lists it as uncharacterized. The transcript is spliced from 2 exons. Lineage: Eukaryota; Metazoa; Chordata; Amphibia; Anura; Pelobatidae. The record is from RefSeq and is a predicted model, not a curated record.
GGAACUUUUAGGGGUCGCUUCAUCAGCAGGAGUUACCGAGUUGUAUUUGGCUCUGGCUCACGGACACAUUCUAUCCUUCUCUAUUGUGUUCUGUGUCCUCGGUUUGUUUUGUAUCCUUCUGAUAAGUAUCUCUGCCUACAAGAACCGCCGGCAUUAUCAGCGCCAAGCAAAAGAAAAAGAAGAAGCGUCAGAGAUAUGUUCAUAUUGUUUCUGCGACCCAUAGAAUGUUCCUGCAUCAUGGAAAUAUUUGACAUAUUUACCCUUUCUUCACCGAGGGUAUUGUGAAGUUGUUGAGCAACGAUCCAAGGAGAAAUCCGAUUGCCUCUUGGAGUCAAGAAGGAAUUUUUUUCCCCUGAUGGCAGAAUUCGAUGUAGCUUAAUUAGGGUUUUUUUUUGCCUUCUUUUGGAUCAAGACUAGGAAGGUUAGGUACAAGGGUUGAACUUGAUGGACUAUAAUAAAUGAAAUGAUCAGUCGAAGGAU